CGCGGCUCGGGAGAGUGCCGCGACUGUGAUUGGGGGACUCGUGUGUUCUGAGCAUUUGCUAUGUGAGGUGACAGUUUGCUUCGUCGCUCCGACUCGGACUGUAUAGGCCAGAUGGCAUACAGACGUUUCACAAGUACGUCUCGGCGUUUCUCCCAACAGGCUUCGGCCAUCGGCACUUGCCAGUACCCGGGGCGCAGAUCCAACGAAGAGAACUCUGCUUCUUGCAGGCAAUCCAGGACGUCGUCGAUGCGCGUCGAUACAUGCUUGCGACUAAUCUUGUUAAGCCGGCGGUAAUCGACGCACAAUCUGAUUGAGCCAUCUUUUUUCCGCACCGGCACAACCGAAGACGCCGAAGGUCUGUGGGAUGCUGGAUCACACCCCGUUUCAGCAUGUCGUCAACGUGUUCGUCACAGACAAGGUAUUCGGCUGUGGGAACAGGGUAUUGACGCUGGCGCAGCGGAGCAUUGUGACCGGUGUCAAUACGGUGAACAACCACUGACGUGUGCCCAACAAAGGUAGGCCAAAGUCGAAAGAAGCCCGCAAGGUUGAAUAAGUUCAACAACUUGACCGCGUUGAGCUGGCGGACGCACGUUAUCGACGGUAUGCAAGAAAAUAUCCAGGGAACGUGAGGCUAGCACGGCAGCAAAGCUGGCGGCACCGAACGGAUGGAAAACACUGGCCCACAUUGUGGCAGUCGACCACCUCGCGCGGUACGCCGAAACUGCCGCCCACCCGGCAGUGCCCGAUGUUGCCUCUUUCCUGCUUCGUCGAUUCACCCUUCGUCAUGGCCACCUCAGGAACUGCUCAGUCAUCGCGGAAGCGUCUGCCUGCUCGAAGUAAUUGAAAGGAUUCUUAAAGAGUGCCAUGUCAAUUUCGUUCAUCGUACGACUACGGCGCACCGUCCUUAAACCAGGUACCUUACGAAGCUCUUCAACCGUACGCUCGGCAACAUACUUGCCACGCACGUCGCCUCCGACCGCACAAAUUGGGACAUCAUUCUGCCCUUCGUGGCCUACGCGUAGAACACCGGCACUCGAAGCCGUACCGGCUUUCCACCCGUUUUCUUACUUUGCGGUGGGCCCCUGUGGCACACCAACGACACAAUUCUUCCACACGGGCUGGCGGUGACACCACUUCUGCACCGACCUUCCUUCCUGGAACGCUUGUGUGGCUCUCGCUUCCUUCCGCUGCACCUGGCUCUCUUCGAAAGCGCUACCCAAGUACGAAGCGCGCUACCGUGUCUUCGAACGCGUAUCCCCGUCAACUACGUGAUCGAACCCGUUGAACCGCCUUCGGACAUGCGCCGUCGUGGACGAGACAUAGUCAACGUCGAGCGCCUCAAGCCGUAUACUACGAUUCACUCUAAUUGAGGAGCUGUUAGGUCGCCGGUCGGCUGCCUGUUCGUUCCCCGGGGUAAUUGAUGCGAAGAACAGGGACGCUGUAGUGGGUCGCCUUCUCCAGCGCUUUUGCCCGGGGAACGCCGCGCGUGGUCAGAAGCGCGUGAGGCCGCUUGUUCGGUGGCUUUUUCCAGAACAACCUCCAGGAAUCCCAAAGGUAAGAACCUCUUGGAGCUGUCGAGUCUUCUAGCGGUUUGGUGUUCUACGGACGCUGGUAUCGGGUUUCAAGCCGUGAAUGUCGGUUCCAAUUCUCGGUGACAAAUACACGCCUUAAAUUCUGAUUCUUUAUUUUUCAGGAACUUGGGAUGGAAACGCUCGUAAUCCUCAACCGGCAUUGCGUCCCCAAACGGGAGCAGAUAGGUCCCCUCCACGAUGCGGCAUUGCCCUUCGGGGUUCUCCGAUAUGACCCAACCAGGAGAAGUGUUCGCAGUCGACUGCCUGAGGCUGAUCGUGCCGAGCAAGCAGAAAGUUGAUCAACUAAAUGAGGAACACCACAGUGCAGAUCCUUCUACUCCUGUCUGUAGGCUCGACGCUUCAUCAAGGACAGCAUUUCAAGGUAAGCGCUGCAACUCUGGGGCGUUUGUGUAGGUGUUGGGUGCUUUGAGCUUGAUUCUUGGCAAUAAUUAGGCGUCGUCCCGUCGAUAGGUAUCCGCUGCCAUCACAGGGCCGGUGUACGCGCGUUGUUGCUACUUGAUCGUGUCGAGAGCGUCUCGCAAGUGUCCUUACCUAUGCUCCGUCUCGGAAAAUCAGGUGCAACGCUGUGGAAGCUAGAGUUGCGUUUUGCAGCGGCAGCGUCCGCACUUAGAAUCUAAAUUGAUGUUCUUGCUUGACUCGUGCUGCGCUCUGCUGUCAUAAGUAUCACUCGCUACAAUUAUCUGCAGUGAUCGCAUGAUGGAGCCACGACCUCCAUGUCGGUGCGUUUGUAUGAAUUCAAUAGGCCAAUGAGGUGUGAUCACGCCACCUGAGGGCCACCAAUGAGGUGUGAUCACGCCACUUGUGUGAUAGCCAGUGGCAUGACGCAACGUGCCUUUAAAAUGCUAUGCAAGUCGAAUAAACGCCACGUUGGCCAGGCUCUCUCACCCGGAACAGGCGUCUCCGCCAACUUCACUGCGUCGUCCUCUCGAACGCGAGGCCCCUCCGUCGACCGGCUUUACGUGAGACGGUACAGAAUGGCGACGAGGAUUUAGAAGAACCUGCUGUCUCAAACGCCCUUUUCCUGAGAACACGAUACAGGUGGCGCUGACAAGGUGGUACGAUGACGGAAUGGGCGACCAGGCGCUACCCUUCGGUACCGUGUUCACCAUCAAGUACCGGGGCAUCCAACACCAGAGCGCCAGGAAGCUCGUGAGCCUCGUCAGGAACCACCUUUAGGCACAAUAGACUUUGCCGAGUUUCCACCUGGGCCGGUAUUUUGUAGCGAUGCCUUUUCCGAUUCUAUGUUUUUUCAGGCUUUACUCUACAAUGUCAAAUCUACAAUCUACAAGUCUACAAUGUCAAAUCCAGAAAAUUUCCAGAACAACCUCCAGGAAUCCCGAAGGAACUUGGGAUGGAAACGCUCGUAAUCCUCAACCGACAUUGCGUCCCCAGACGGGAGCAGAUAGGUCCCCUCCACGAUGCGGCAUUGCCCUUCGGGGUAUGUGACUGUUUUCUGUUUAUACAGAUAUACCUUUCUUUUAGUUCUGAGAAGCUAUUAACGAAGUCAACUAUACAAAAUUUUGCGUAAAGUUUGGGAAUUUGAAUUCGUUCUGCGUCAUUAAAGGCUGCGUUUAAAUAAGAAGAACGUUAUCUGGCAGAGACAGUAAAGACUGCUUACAUGUGGGAAUGCGAAAGCAUUUGCCGUUUGUAGAACCUAGGAAUGUCAUGAGUGUGUUCAUGCACUUUCCACGCAUGAAAACACUCAUGAGAGCACGCACUAUAGGCGCACCUUGAGUCAGCCAGAACCGUGGAGCCGAAGUGGCGUCGGCAAAGGGUGCUCAUCUCGCAUCCCGGAGACCAAGGGUUAGUUCCCAUCCAGACCUAAAUGUACAUUUCCUUUUCGAAGCCAUUAAUUUACUUUGUUUACAGAAACCUACUGAGAAAUUUGACGUCAAUUCGAGCAUUCUUGACGCGUUUUCUUGACGCCUUUCCAGAGAAGCAAACCUUCCUGAAGCGCAAAAGCUGGUGUUGAAAGAGUGUGUAGCUGCAGGCAAAGCUCGCUCAAAAAACGGUAGAAGAUACUCAGAUGACUGGAUCUUGCUCUGCCUUCUCCUCCAUAUUAGGUCACCUGCAGGAUACAGAUUCUUGAUGGAGAGUGAAAUUCUCGCCUUGCCUUCAGUACGAACAAUACACCGCUACAUCUCAUUGGUGGGCUUUAAAACAGGCUUUGAUAGUAAGUUCUUCAUAGCCUUAAAAAAGAAACUUGAAAAGAAAGAUGACUUCAAGCGGCACGGUAUUAUCAUCUUUGAUGAGAUGCAAGUCCGUAAAAGUAAGGCUGUCAACUCAAAGACAAUGAUCUACGUCGGUCUGGCAUCAGAGACGGAAAACAGUACCGAGCUUGCAGACCUUGCUCUUGUUUUUAUGUUCUGCCCUUUUGGUGAAAGUUGUGCUCAGCCAAUAGGUGUUUUUGCAGCAAAAGGUGCCACGAAGGGUACUAUUCUUGCACAGUUGCUCCUUCAGGCAGUUUUACUUAUGGAGGAAGCUGGAGCAAAAAUUCAUGGGUUUGUUUGUGAUGGAGCUUCGACAAACAGGACUAUGUGGCGAACACUGGGUAUAAGUGGGUCACUAGAAGCCUGCCGGAACUCCUUCACACAUCCAAGCGACCCCACACGAAAAGUUUUUGCAUUUUCUGAUGCUCCACACCUCUUUAAAUGCAUCAGGAACCGUCUUUUGCAACAAAGGUACCUGAAAAAGGAGGGACGUUGGAUUAGGUGGGAGGACUAUGCAGCAGUUUAUAAAGAAGACCAAGCGAAUGUUGGAGCUUUGAAGGUGUGUCCAAAAAUAACACAUUCCCACAUUUAUCCAAGCAACUGUGAAAAGAUGCGGGUAAAGCUUGCCACGCAAGUGUUCAGUCGCUCGAUGGCAGCAGGUAUUGAAUUUUACAGAAACCGUGGUGUGCGCAGUCUGGGAGACACUGAAGGCACGCAAGAAUUCACAUUGUUUCUUAAUAAUCUUUUCGAUGCCUUGAACCGGCGGUUUCCUCAUGAAGGUGUCACAAAGCAGGGCUCUGACCUAGGCAUUCUGUCACGUGGGGUAGAAUGGUUGGAUAACUGGGAAAAAGAGCUGCAGAGUGGAAAUAUCACGAAAGAUAUGUUCCUGACAAAAAGCACUUCUGAAGGGCUCCUAGUUACCUUGAGAUCAACUAAAGAGCUUUGUGAGGUUCUUUUGCAUCAGUACGAGUUCAGAUACGUUCUUACAAAUAAAAUGAAUCAAGAUCCGAUCGAAAGAUUCUUUGGCAAGAUAAGACUUGCUGGAAGCCAGAAUGACCAUCCUUCAAUGCCAACAUUUAUGCAACUGUACAAUACAAUGUCCAUUUACAGGCUUCUGAGGCCUCCCAAGUUUGGCAAUUGCUGCGUGGUCGAUGAGAAGCCAUUACUAGACGCAUCAGACUUACGAGCCCUGAUCGAACUAGGCAGUGCAAGCAACUCUUCGCCUGGCUUCAUUGAUCAGCUAAAAGAAAAGCUUGAUAAACUGAUUCUUGUUGAGGACUGGGAAUGUGAGGAUGUUAUCCCAGUAAACGGAAAGGAUACAGCGCAAGUCGUUGACUGCAUACUUUACUAUGUGGUUGGAUUCUUGAGCCGAAAGUUGAUGAAAGCCACCACGUGCGAUUGUUGCCGGUCUGCUUUUACCAUUCCGCAAAACAGCUCUGCUGAAGGAUCCCUGACCAACACAAAGAGCAGGGGUGGACUGUUGCACCCCAACGCGAAUCUCUUUGAGCUGUUGAGAGUAGCUGAGGAGCACUUUGCAAAAAAUGCCGACAGUCAGUCUGUAUACUGGGAAACGGUGGAGCAUGUGCUUGACACAAAGACCUUGACUUUUCCAUGUGCUCAGCACAAAGAAGAGGUCAUUGCACAAAUUCUGCACUAUUUCUUAACCAUGAGAAUGAGGCAGCACUGUAAAGCUGCAACCAUGAACUUGAAAAAACAAGCUCAAGAGAAAAAAAAGCUUGCGAAACUUUGUUCAUCCUGAAUCGUGUUGCCAAGUUUACAGAAUGUACUAAUUUUGUUAGAUUUUUUGUGAAUGUAUGUAUUAAACAGUUUGUGCCAUGCAAUGUAUAGUUUUGUAACAGAAUAAAUUAUAUGUUCAGCCCCCCUUUCAGCAUGCCAUUCCUAAUAUUCUACACAAAUGUAAGAGCACUGUACACACCACCAGACCUACUUCAGGUCGGACAUUUUUUUUUUCUAAUAUAAGAGCGCGCAUUGUUCUCUUGAAAUGACAGAGUAGAAUAGAAAAAUUAUGCCCAUUCAUGGGCAACUAGCGCAAGAUAUACUGCUUUGAGAGUUGCGAUGGAUUUAGCCGUGUGACAUGCCCUUCAUCAAGCUGUACUGCACACGGCUUGCAGUACUGGCGCAAAGUAUAACCGCCAUCGCCUUAACACUGAGCAGAAGCCUGCGUAGGGGUCGCGUGUCGAGCGAAGUUUGUAACCAAGUACAUGUGUAAGCUAGAGGUGCAAUGGUUCAAGGUGCUUUGAGGACGUUUAUUUUGUAAAGAGGAAGAUGAGCAGCGGCGGCAGCCGCACCGCCAGCGCACAGCGCGAGAUUGCUGGGUUGACGACCGAAGAUCGGAACGGCAUUUUGGCUAGCUGUCCUUACGCUAUUUCCCCGAAAAUCCGGCUACAAUUUAUUUAUUUUUGCUUUAAUUAGCUAACAUUGGCGGGCGCAACUAGAAAAUACGAUUGAUACACUGGCUUCAACGUAUGCUAGAUACCAGAUCUAUAAUAAAAACGUCGUCGAGAAAUCAGUUGCACAUUCAUUUAGAUAAUCAGUCUUGUUACUGCAGAAUCCCGGUGGAUUCAUGCCUGUGCAUACUUUUCUAUAUACCCCGAUAUCGAGCUCGACAAACGAGCAACGCUUAGCAUCGAUAACCUACGCAGCGCAAAUCCGAGAGCCUCCACCUACUAGCGCCACCUGUCGCCGGGAAACGGAAACAGCGCCGGCGGCGAACACAACCAGGACGGUGCGCCGGCCGCAGUGUCAACACCUAAAUUAUUCUUACACCGUGACAUGUACACACACAAAAAAAGAAAAAAAAACAUGAGCAAUUCACUCUAUGAAGGUGGUUGACCAGCAAAGCUGUUUACCACACGACACCGAGGUGACACAUACUUUUGAACAAAAAUACGAGCUCAUUUAUUGUCUUGAUGGGUGGUCGUCGUGGCGAAAAGUAGGCAGACUCAUUGUCUUGAUCGGUGGUAAUUAUUUCACUCGCAACUGCAAAAGUCAAAUCGCUGCGCGUACGCCGCUGGGUGGUCGGUUGGGCUGGAUCGUUGUGGCAUCGCAAGGGGUAUGUCUGCAACACGGAGCACUUAAACCGCUCCCUUUUCGGUACCGACACGUCCACAUUGAAAUGAUUGACAACGAUAACAGGGUUUGUGUCAUUGCAGCUAAUUCUUGCAAAGUGAGUAGCCAUGAACCUUACGGGGCCGAGUCAUCGCCUAAACCGCCACCUUUUCGGUACCGACACAUCUACAAUGAAAUCACCGACAAAGACGACACAGGUAGAAUCAUCGCAGCUAAUUCACGCAGAGUAGCCAUGAACCUUACGGGACUAUGAGUCAUUGCAUUUUUUGUCGACAAGUGAUGGCGACACCGGCCAGUACUAUAUCCAUUGAGAUAUUCCAGAACAUGCGGCUGCGUCACAAUCCGCUUCUCUUCUUCACGCAGGUGAGAAGGCGUCAUGAUAAAUGUUUUCGAUCUAGUAGCCCAUGUUUGCUGAUGCUGCCGUGCCCAUUGACGAGCCUUGUAUUGCAUGUGGUACUUUAUUCACUCCGACCGUUGUUGUUACUUGCAGGGGAUACAGAGUCAAAUCCUGGUCCUGACCUACCACAAAUUGCGAAUCAACUGGAAUUGAUGGCGUCCGACCUCAAAGAUAUCAAAGGCAUAAGAUUAUCCGCUAUUGGUGUUAAAUUGAACGCUCUGGCUGUCUUGGAAGAGAAAAUUUCUUCGUGCCAGAAUCAAAUUGAACACAUGAGUAACACAAUUCAGUCACUUGAGGCGCGAAUUGACGAUUUAGAGAACCAUAGGAGACGAUCCAAUUUAAUCAUUUGUGGUCUUCCGGAAUCUGAGAAAGAAGAUACCGAAUCACUUGAAAUUGCCAUCAAUAAAGCUAUUUUUAAGAAAAUUCUUGAAAUUAAUGACAUUGAUAUAGAGCGCAAUCGCAGGUUGGGCCGACCAAACACUACAAAGCUAAGGCCAGUGAUAUUCAGGUUAACGAACUCGCGUAAUAAAGUAAAAAUUCUAAAGAAAGGUUAUAAACUAAAAAAUACUGAAUAUUCUAUUGGCAAAGAUUUCUCGCUUAAAGUACGUGAGGUCAAAAGAAAGUUAUGGGCAAGUGCAAAAAUAAACCGUGAAAAGCAUGAUAAGGUUUCUUUGGCUUUUGAUAAACUUUAUAUCAAUAACGUGGCCUAUGUGUGGGAUGAGAACAGAGAUGUUAAAGUAUACCUAAAAAAACGAAAACAACAAACCAAAUCGCCCUUAGACGCGCAGUUGCAUGCUAAUACAGCACAAAACAUGAGCAAUAGUAUCAAAAGCAGCACUUCAUGACACUUUUACAAUGAAACCGUUAGUUAUGUUACUCGCGCUAAGCCAAAGAAAAAGUACCUGAGACUUUUAAAUAUUAAUGCCCAGGGCAUAAUUAACAAGAAAGAUAGCCUAAAAUUAAAGUUAAUUGAACAUGACCCACACAUUUCAGUCCUUCCUGAAGCUUGGUUGCACAGUGACAUAGCAGACGACUUAGUCUUUCCUUCUUCUUAUCAAGCUUUUCGCAGAGAGAGAAAAACGAGGGGCGCGGGCGUAGCAAUCCUUGUUAAAUCUUCAAUCGAGGCAGUGGUAUUCGACUGCUCCUGCGAUGUUUAGUGUUUAUGCUUAAAGAUACCUUGCUGGGGUCACAGCUUCAUCCUGAUAGUACGCUACUAGGCGCCACCAAUAAUAUGAAAUAAUGAAACGUUGUUACAGUUAUUAAAAACACGAUUGAGUAAAUAUAAUUACGUCCAGCGUCCAACAGUUACGUCCAACUUGUGACGCUAAGUUCAGCACUACCGUGACCCGCGUCUUCUGCAACACCAGACAGAACUUUGCCCCUGAAGCUACAUCGGACAGACUUUCUCGCACCUGCGGCGCCGGUGCUGAAUCAGUCAUCGUCACCGGCGGCCUUUCAGCCACUUGCGUUAGAGCGCGGUUGCUAACGCGCUCUGCCGUCUAGAUAUUCAAUAUGCGCGUUCCGGGCUAAACUAUACGGUCGCUACUGCUCCCACAGAAAUAUCUGUGCUGUUAUUUACAAGGCACAUUCCCAUAAGGCGCGAGAAAGCUAUGAUCCGCCCCGAUUUGAGUUUGCACGAGCGCCGCAGGUGCGAGACAAUCUAUCCGACACAGCGGUCGCCAAGUCGGCCGUCAGUGCCCGCUGCUUCACCUGUUUUACCACGCCAGCAGCAAUCGUCCAAACGUAAACCAACGAUCCCAAUCCGCAACGGCGGCACGCCUAGGGACAAACACCUGCAUAAAAACCUACUCCGCAGUGCCUAGGCAGAGUCAUAUAUUU
Dermacentor albipictus is the source of this 9128-nucleotide non-coding RNA. Lineage: Eukaryota; Metazoa; Arthropoda; Arachnida; Ixodida; Ixodidae. The record is from RefSeq and is a predicted model, not a curated record.